GGCAAAGUGGCCGAGUGGUUAAGGCGCUGUGUUUAGGAAACUUCUCCGUUCCGCAGUGGGAAACCUCGCGAGUUCGAAUCUCGUCUUUGUCA
Molecule: non-coding RNA, 92 nt
Organism: Apodospora peruviana
Lineage: Eukaryota; Fungi; Ascomycota; Sordariomycetes; Sordariales; Lasiosphaeriaceae
Source: the annotation of a GenBank genome assembly